AUGUGUCAUCCUGUGUUUUUCCCUAUCUCUUAUUCUCAGAUGGAUUUACCAGUGGUGGCAACAGUCCAUCUGAAUAUCUUCUCAAAUAAGACAGUGGUGCGAGACCUCCUCCGGUCACAUGGCUUUGUGUUGACAGAUCUGGGCAGCGAUCAGGUGCGUGUAGAGGGGUCGUAUCUGAAACUUAAGGCUGUGAAGGCCUCUUUGGAGCAGCUUCUUGACUCACAAACUACGACAGACUUCACGCAGGUCCCAAAGGCUUCCACUGGAGCCAUUUCCAAACGCCACAACAGUAACAGCUCAGUGUCAGAUGGUAACAGAGGCCGAAACAAGCCUCCGCAUGCUUCUCCAUCCUCACGCACCACCUUCCCGUCUCGGGCGUCAAGAGAGUCCUUUGUGGUGGAUGUAGAUCUGUUUAGGUAUGCAGAUCGGCUCAGGAAAGAAGACAUUGUCGGAAUUCUGAAGAACCAUGAUGUUAACAUGGAGGUGGAUGACAUUGGCGAGAGCAUCAACAUCACUUUACAGGGGAAGAGAGCGAGAACAGCUGUUGGUAAACUACAGAGCCUCCUGAAUGAUCUCAACAAUUCACUGCGCACACAGGAAGUCCCUCUGAAGGACAUGGAUCAUGAAGGCAAGGCUCUUUUAGGGAAGAUAAGGAAUGACGAAAACAUUUACAAUUCAGUACUCGUAUGUCUGAUUAAUGACAAAGUUCACCUGAUAGGACCGUCAGGUGAGGGCUUCGAGUUAAAGGAGAGGCUGUUGGGGAGGCCGAGGGAGCAGUCAGGACGUACGGGGAGGACACUUGUCAGAAGCUCCACAACAAGAGAUAGGGGUGCUGUGGAUAAGAUAUCUCCAGCUGCAGGUUACUCUCCACCUGCUGAGCCCAAGUUGAGAGCUGCUACUGUUUCUCGAUAUUUUAGGAGAAGCCGCUCUGACCCCUGCAGAAGAUCCCGGGAAGAAAGGGUCAAUAUGCAAGAGGUGGUAAACAGAACUCCUAAAUCACCCAAGAAACUGUUCUCACGAAUUCUAAAGUUUUUCAACAUACAUAAAGGCAAGUGA
Molecule: long non-coding RNA, 1056 nt
Filed under: Cottoperca gobio
Lineage: Eukaryota; Metazoa; Chordata; Actinopteri; Perciformes; Bovichtidae
Description: lncRNA (ENSCGOG00000021027.1)
Source: RNAcentral